RNAcentral lists this ribosomal RNA (451 nucleotides) under uncultured organism. Its description in RNAcentral is "partial 16S ribosomal RNA". It matches the Rfam family "Bacterial small subunit ribosomal RNA", at positions 329 to 797 of the family's 1533-position model. The record is from RNAcentral.
ACGUACACUCCUGCGGGAGGCAGCAGUGGGGAAUAUUGGACAAUGGGCGCAAGCCUGAUCCAGCCAUGCCGCGUGAGUGAUGAAGGCCCUAGGGUUGUAAAGCUCUUUCACCGGUGAAGAUAAUGACGGUAACCGGAGAAGAAGCCCCGGCUAACUUCGUGCCAGCAGCCGCGGUAAUACGAAGGGGGCUAGCGUUGUUCGGAUUUACUGGGCGUAAAGCGCACGUAGGCGGACUAUUAAGUCAGGGGUGAAAUCCCGGGGCUCAACCCCGGAACUGCCUUUGAUACUGGUAGUCUUGAGUUCGAGAGAGGUGAGUGGAAUUCCGAGUGUAGAGGUGAAAUUCGUAGAUAUUCGGAGGAACACCAGUGGCGAAGGCGGCUCACUGGCUCGAUACUGACGCUGAGGUGCGAAAGCGUGGGGAGCAAACAGGAUUAGAAACCCCGGUAGUCAU